CAGCCGCCGCGGUAAUACGUAGGGUGCGAGCGUUAAUCGGAAUUACUGGGCGUAAAGCGCGCGCAGGCGGUUAUAUAAGACAGAUGUGAAAUCCCCGGGCUCAACCUGGGACCUGCAUUUGUGACUGUAUAGCUAGAGUACGGUAGAGGGGGAUGGAAUUCCGCGUGUAGCAGUGAAAUGCGUAGAUAUGCGGAGGAACACCGAUGGCGAAGGCAAUCCCCUGGACCUGUACUGACGCUCAUGCACGAAAGCGUGGGGAGCAAACAGGAUUAGAGACCCCCGUAGUCCCUGUCUCUUAUAC
This 301-nucleotide ribosomal RNA is filed under the name uncultured bacterium. RNAcentral's name for it is "partial 16S ribosomal RNA". It matches the Rfam family "Bacterial small subunit ribosomal RNA", at positions 509 to 807 of the family's 1533-position model. The record is from RNAcentral.